This 253-nucleotide ribosomal RNA is filed under the name uncultured bacterium. RNAcentral's name for it is "partial 16S ribosomal RNA". It matches the Rfam family "Bacterial small subunit ribosomal RNA", at positions 524 to 776 of the family's 1533-position model. The record is from RNAcentral.
UACGUAGGCAGCGAGCGUUGUUCGGAAUUACUGGGCGUAAAGAGUGUGUAGGUGGUGAUCUAAGUCUGUCGUGAAAUCUCCCGGCUUAACUGGGAGGGUGCGGCGGAAACUGGAUCGCUAGAGUAUAGUAGGGGUAAAGGGAAUUUCCAGUGGAGCGGUGAAAUGCGUAGAGAUUGGAAAGAACACCGAUGGCGAAGGCACUUUACUGGGCUAUUACUAACACUCAGAGACGAAAGCUAGGGUAGCAAAUGGG